CUUGGCUUCUUCAUAUUCAAACGUACCCUCUCAUGACACCAGGGGACCUCGUCCUGUCCUUUUUACGUUGUCAUUGGAGCAGAAACUGCAAAAUUUUGGGGGAAUUCUUAAUUGAUCAUUGAUACAGAAGUGUAAUUUUGAAUCCUGUUGAAGGUAUUAGUGUUGUAGAGAUUCUCCAAAUGCUACAUAUUGGCAGGACCAGAAAUCAGCCAAGGUCCAACAGAUCAAUGCCGCUUGGAGGCCUGGAUUAUGCAGACCCUAAAAGGAAGGGUAAUUAUGUAGGGAAGAUCCUUUUGGCUGCUGCUCUCACAGCCUUAUGCAUUAUUAUGCUCAAACAAUCCCCAACAUUCAAUACUCCAAGCCCGUUCUCCAUGCAUGAAGAAGGGGUGACUCAUGUGCUUGUGACUGGUGGUGCUGGCUACAUUGGUUCACACGCUGCAAUGCGACUUUUAAAGGAUGGGUACAGGGUAACCAUAGUGGAUAACCUCUCACGGGGAAAUCUUGGUGCUGUCAAAGUUCUACAAGAAUUAUUUCCACAACCUGGGAGGCUUCAGUUCAUAUAUACUGACCUGGGGGAUGCAAAAGCUGUUAACAAAAUAUUCUCAGAAAAUGCAUUUGAUGCUGUGAUGCA
Molecule: unclassified non-coding RNA, 631 nt
Filed under: Hevea brasiliensis (rubber tree)
Lineage: Eukaryota; Viridiplantae; Streptophyta; Magnoliopsida; Malpighiales; Euphorbiaceae
Source: RNAcentral